Molecule: ribosomal RNA, 253 nt
Filed under: uncultured bacterium
Lineage: Bacteria
Description: partial 16S ribosomal RNA
Rfam family: Bacterial small subunit ribosomal RNA
Source: RNAcentral
UACGUAGGGUGCGAGCGUUAAUCGGAAUUACUGGGCGUAAAGCGUGCGCAGGCGGUUUUGUAAGCCGGAUGUGAAAUCCCCGGGCUCAACCUGGGAAUGGCAUUUGGGACUGCAAGGCUGGAGUGCGGCAGAGGAGACUGGAAUUCCUGGUGUAGCAGUGAAAUGCGUAGAUAUCAGGAGGAACACCGAUGGCGAAGGCAGGUCUCUGGGCUGACACUGACGCUCAUGCACGAAAGCGUGGGGAGCAAACAGG